GACCGCCUAGCGAAAUGGCAUCGCGUUUGACUACGAAUCAGGAGAUUGCAGGUUCAACCCUGUGGUGAUCA
RNAcentral lists this transfer RNA (71 nucleotides) under Sphaerobolus stellatus SS14. Its description in RNAcentral is "tRNA-Arg (ACG) (tRNA-Arg-ACG-14-1)". It matches the Rfam family "tRNA". Rfam says of the family: Transfer RNA (tRNA) molecules are approximately 80 nucleotides in length. Their secondary structure includes four short double-helical elements and three loops (D, anti-codon, and T loops). Further hydrogen bonds mediate the characteristic L-shaped molecular structure. tRNAs have two regions of fundamental functional importance: the anti-codon, which is responsible for specific mRNA codon recognition, and the 3' end, to which the tRNAs corresponding amino acid is attached (by aminoacyl-tRNA synthetases). tRNAs cope with the degeneracy of the genetic code in two manners: having more than one tRNA (with a specific anti-codon) for a particular amino acid; and 'wobble' base-pairing, i.e. permitting non-standard base-pairing at the 3rd anti-codon position. Lineage: Eukaryota; Fungi; Basidiomycota; Agaricomycetes; Geastrales; Sphaerobolaceae. The record is from Rfam by way of RNAcentral.